This 468-nucleotide ribosomal RNA is filed under the name uncultured bacterium. Its description in RNAcentral is "partial 16S ribosomal RNA". It matches the Rfam family "Bacterial small subunit ribosomal RNA", at positions 28 to 507 of the family's 1533-position model. The record is from RNAcentral.
GACGAACGCUGGCGGCGUGCUUAACACAUGCAAGUCGAACGGAAAGGCCCUGCUUUUGUGGGGUGCUCGAGUGGCGAACGGGUGUGUAACACGUGAGUAACCUGCCCUUGACUUUGUGAUAACUUCAGGAAACUGGGUCUAAUACCCGAUAGGAUCUCCUGCUGCAUGGUGGGGGUUGGUAAGUUUCGGCGGUUGGGGAUGGACUCGCGGCUUAUCAGCUUUUUUGUUGGGUAGUGGCUUACCAAGGCUUUGACGGGUAGCCGGCCUGAGAGGGUGACCGGCAACAUUGGGACUGAGAUACGGCCCAGACUCCUACGGGAGGCAGCAGUGGGGAAUAUUGCACAAUGGGCGGAAGCCUGAUGCAGAAAAGCCGCGUGCGGGAUGAAGGCCUUCGGGUUGUAAAACGCUUUAGACUGUGACGAAGCGAGAGUGACGGUAAUGGGUAAAGAAGCACCGGCUAACUACGUG